RNAcentral lists this ribosomal RNA (504 nucleotides) under Triticum aestivum (bread wheat). RNAcentral's name for it is "partial small subunit ribosomal RNA". Lineage: Eukaryota; Viridiplantae; Streptophyta; Magnoliopsida; Poales; Poaceae. The record is from RNAcentral.
AUGGACAGGAGCUUCAUGCCCAAAAUCCAGUCGCCCCUGGCCGUGCCUACACGAGCAGCGCCGUGGGUAGAUGCUUCCCCGCCCAACGAGGAUGGCGAGGUAGGUGUUGACAAAGGCAGCCCGAGGCCAUCAGAUUUGGCACCAUCGCCGUUCUUUUGGUCGAGGCCGCUGUCGUUCAUGUGCUCCUCCUCACCCCCACGGCUAGAUGCUGGCGAGGCCAGCCUCCCCUCAUGCGCAGAUUAUCUUCGUCUCUGGUGUUUCGCUGGCCAUUGGGCUGAAGUCAACCGUACAGUUCUUCACAAAGCCCAAGAAUCGCAAGGUCAUAUACAUGGUUCGAUUGCUUUCAGGGUCGUACUUUUCCUUGUCCUUAUUGGCUGGCCUGUCUUCGGUAUGAUGGCAGAUUCGUUUGGUUUUGCCCUGCUAUUCAGGUCACCUCCAUGUCUCCCGCCAGUCCACGACAUAGCUUGCAAUCUAGGAUGUUGCCAAGUUAACUUAGGAUGGUAA